Molecule: ribosomal RNA, 584 nt
Filed under: uncultured bacterium
Lineage: Bacteria
Description: partial 16S ribosomal RNA
Rfam family: Bacterial small subunit ribosomal RNA
Source: RNAcentral
UGGGGAAUUUUGGACAAUGGGCGAAAGCCUGAUCCAGCAAUGCCGCGUGUGUGAAGAAGGCCUUCGGGUUGUAAAGCACUUUUGUCCGGAAAGAAAUCCUUGGCUCUAAUACAGUCGGGGGAUGACGGUACCGGAAGAAUAAGCACCGGCUAACUACGUGCCAGCAGCCGCGGUAAUACGUAGGGUGCAAGCGUUAAUCGGAAUUACUGGGCGUAAAGCGUGCGCAGGCGGUUUGCUAAGACCGAUGUGAAAUCCCCGGGCUCAACCUGGGAACUGCAUUGGUGACUGGCAGGCUAGAGUAUGGCAGAGGGGGGUAGAAUUCCACGUGUAGCAGUGAAAUGCGUAGAGAUGUGGAGGAAUACCGAUGGCGAAGGCAGCCCCCUGGGCCAAUACUGACGCUCAUGCACGAAAGCGUGGGGGAGCAAACAGGAUUAGAUACCCCUGGUAGUCCACGCCCUAAACGAUGUCAACUAGUUGUUGGGGAUUCAUUUCCUUAGUAACGUAGCUAACGCGUGAAGUUGACCGCCUGGGGAGUACGGUCGCAAGAUUAAAACUCAAAUGAAUUGACGGGGUCAUAGCUGUUU